This 253-nucleotide ribosomal RNA is filed under the name uncultured bacterium. RNAcentral's name for it is "partial 16S ribosomal RNA". It matches the Rfam family "Bacterial small subunit ribosomal RNA", at positions 524 to 776 of the family's 1533-position model. The record is from RNAcentral.
UACGUAGGGCGCAAGCGUUGUCCGGAAUUAUUGGGCGUAAAGAGCUCGUAGGCGGUCUGUUGCGUCCGCUGUGAAAACCCAGGGCUUAACCCUGGGCUUGCAGUGGAUACGGGCAGACUAGAGGCAGGUAGGGGAGAAUGGAAUUCCCGGUGUAGCGGUGAAAUGCGCAGAUAUCAGGAGGAACACCGAUGGCGAAGGCAGCUCGCUGGGACGGUACUGACGCUGAGGCGCGAAAGCGUGGGGAGCAAACAGG